GGCAGCGUCAGAUGUGUAUAAGAGACAGCUAGUCGAGCGAUCCCGCGUGGAUAAUACACGGGCAUCAAACUGUCAACCGAAGCCGUGGGGUUAGUGAUGAGCUAACCGGUAGGAGAGCAUUCCUGCCAGCUUAGAAGGUCACCCGCGAGAGUGACUGGAGCGGCAUGAAAAGCAAAUGUAGGCAUAAGUAACGAUAAUGGGGGCGAGAACCCCCCACGCCGCAAGACCAAGGAUUCCCCGGCAAUGUCAAUCAGCCGGGGGUCAGCCGGCCUCUAAGGCUCACCCGAAAGGGGAUGCCGACGAGAAACGGGUUAACAUUCCCGUGCUUCUCGUCACCGUGACGCGGUGACGGGGUGAUGAAUGGACCGCGCGCUGACGGAAUAGCGCGUUGAAGGCCGUACCCUUUGACGGUGGUAGUCAAGCACGCCACCGGAGGCGAGAGCCGAUAGUACCACGAGACCCCGGUCGAGUGGAUAGCGUCCAGGCAAUUUACCCCCUAGAAAACCCGCUAAACUUCAAGUGACGAGGAACCGUACUGUAAACGGACACACGUGGUCGGGUAGAAUAUACCAAGGCGCUCGAGUGAUUCAUGGUCAAGGAACUAGGCAAAAUAGUCCUGUAACUUAGGGAAAAAGGACGCUCUAGUGAUAGAGCCGCAGAGUAAUGGCCCAGGCGACUGUUUACCAAAAACACAUGGCUAUGCCAAAUCGAAAGAUGACGUAUAUGGCCUGACACCUGCCCGGUGCCGGAAGGUUAAGAGGAGAGCUCAUCGGAAACGAGAAGGUUUGAAUUGAAGCCCCGGUAAACGGCGGCCGUAACUAUAACGGUCCUAAGGUAGCGAAAUUCCUUGUCGGGUAAGUUCCGACCUGCACGAAUGGUGUAACGAUCUGGGCACUGUCUCGACCAUGAGCUCGGUGAAAUUGUAGUUCCGGUGAAGAUGCCGGGUACCCGCGACGGGACGGAAAGACCCCGUGAACCUUUACUGCAGCUUCGCGUUGUUCCCGGGCACGGGACGUGUAGGAUAGGUCGGAGGCUACGAGUCGGUUUCGCCAGGAAUCGAGGAGCCAUCGUUGAAAUACGACCCUUCUCUUGUCUGGGAUCUAACCCAUUGUAAUGGGGACACUGCGUGGUGGGUAGUUUGACUGGGGUGGUCGCCUCCAAAAGCGUAACGGAGGCUUCCAAAGGUACCCUCGGGUUGGUUGGUAAUCAACCGUAGAGUGCAAUGGCACAAGGGUGCUUGACCGGGAGACCAACAAGUCGAUCGGGUGCGAAAGCAGGGCAUAGUGAUCCGGUGAUCCCGCGUGGAAGGGUCAUCGCUCAAAGGAUAAAAGGUACUCCGGGGAUAACAGGCUGAUCGCCCCCAAGAGCUCAUAUCGACGGGGCGGUUUGGCACCUCGAUGUCGGCUCGUCACAUCCUGGGGCUGGAGAAGGUCCC
Molecule: ribosomal RNA, 1435 nt
Filed under: human gut metagenome
Description: bacterial LSU rRNA
Rfam family: Bacterial large subunit ribosomal RNA
Source: RNAcentral